GCUGAGCAAGUGUGUCUGCUGUCGACACCUGCCAGCUAAGGAAGUAGGGCUAUGCACCUGAUUCCUGGCAUGCCCGCCCCUCGCCACCCUGACAUGCUUGAUCCAGGCUUCAAUGGAUCCUGGAGAGGAGGGUCUCUCGUCUAGUUCAAAGUGCCCCAGUCAGGGCUUGGGCAGGGUGGGACACCUGGCUGCCCCUCCAAGGCCCGCUGAGCCUUGGCCUCACCCGAGGGCCAGCUGGACGAAUGCUCCAAUUAAAGGCCCUGGACUUACAGGGAAAACCAGAAGGUGUGGAGCAGCCAGGCCGUGCAGUUGCUUCUUGGAGACACAGCCCACUCUCACCCUUGCCAGAGGACGAAUGGAGGGAAUGUUGUAGAAGCUUCCAGAAAAAAGUAAGUAGCUCUGUCCAAUGGCGGGUCCUGACCUGCAGCCACAUUUUCUGUAUUCACUCUUUGUUUUGUUGCAGCAACAAAAGACCUUAAAAGACAAGUUUAAAAGGUUUACCUCUGCUCACAGUUUGGGAGAACAGUCAGUUAUGGCAGGCAAGGCCCAGCGACAGGAACACGAGGUAGCUGCUAGCAUCGCAUCCACACUCAGGAAGCAGAGUGGGGUGAAUAACUCACUUCCCCCUUUUUAUGCUGCCCAUG
Molecule: long non-coding RNA, 644 nt
Filed under: Mus pahari (shrew mouse)
Lineage: Eukaryota; Metazoa; Chordata; Mammalia; Rodentia; Muridae
Description: lncRNA (MGP_PahariEiJ_G0005436.1)
Source: RNAcentral